UAAGGGUGGAAAUAAUAUUAUCUCUCAUCUUUUUAUCGUAAUCUCUCUGUAUCGUUAUCAUCUCUCUAUCUAUUUGUUCUCUCUCCCUUUUUUUGUAUCGUCCCCCGUAUUGAUUCUUAUUCUCCUAUUUAUAAUAGGAAGGGUGGCGAGAGAUAUUUUGAGGAGUCGGUUAAGAAUUCGAAAUUCAAAAUCUAAUUUUGAAUCGGUUGUUGUGGUUGGUUUGAAGGGAUUCAAAAUUCGAAAUUGAAUUUUGAAUGGGUGGUUGGAAGAUAUUUUGGGAGUUGGUUGGGAAUUCGAAAUUCGAAAUCGAAUUUUGAAUGGGUUGUUGGAUGGUUGGAAGAUAUUUUGGGAGUUUGUUGGGAAUUCGAAAUUCGAAAUCGAAUUUUGAAUGGGUUGUUGGAUGGUUGGAAGAUAUUUUGGGAGUUUGUUGGGAAUUCGAAAUUCGAAAUCGAAUUUUGAAUAGGUUGUUGGAUGGUUGAAGGAUAUUUUGGGAAUUGGUUGAGGAUUCGAAAUUCGAAAUCGAAUUUUGAAUGAGUUGUUGGGUGGUUAGGUAUUCAAAAUUCAAAUGGAUGUUGAUUGGGGAUUCGAAAUUCGAAAUUGAAUUUUGAAUAGGUUGUGGGAUGGAUAGGUUUUCAAAAUUCGAGUGGAUGUUGGUUGAGAGAUAUUUUGGGAGUUGGUUCGAAAUUCGGAAUCGAAUUUCGAAUAGGGUUGUUAGGAUAGCAGAUAUUUUCUAGUUGGUUGGGGGUUUAAAAAUUUAAAAUCGAAUUUGAAUUCAAAAUUAAAUUUUUAAACGUGGGUGAAAAUAUAGGCCGUGAUCCCAUGAAUUGGACUGAAAUUGUGCCCAUUUUGAUGAAACUUGUUGGGCACAAAUAUUCAUUGGGCUAAGAUAAGGCCCGAAUUUUUGCAUAGGCUUAAAAUUUUAAAGGGCUUUUAUGAGGCCCAUCAAUUCAUGUUUAUGAAUGAAUGGGCCUAUUAUGAAUU
This 981-nucleotide long non-coding RNA is filed under the name Ananas comosus (pineapple). RNAcentral describes it as "long non-coding RNA (ACOM_LNC043722)". Lineage: Eukaryota; Viridiplantae; Streptophyta; Magnoliopsida; Poales; Bromeliaceae. The record is from RNAcentral.